RNAcentral lists this ribosomal RNA (253 nucleotides) under uncultured bacterium. RNAcentral describes it as "partial 16S ribosomal RNA". It matches the Rfam family "Bacterial small subunit ribosomal RNA", at positions 524 to 776 of the family's 1533-position model. The record is from RNAcentral.
UACAGAGGGGGCUAGCGUUGCUCGGAAUCACUGGGCGUAAAGGGUGCGUAGGCGGGUCUUUAAGUCAGGGGUGAAAUCCUGGAGCUCAACUCCAGAACUGCCUUUGAUACUGAGGAUCUUGAGUUCGGGAGAGGUGAGUGGAACUGCGAGUGUAGAGGUGAAAUUCGUAGAUAUUCGCAAGAACACCAGUGGCGAAGGCGGCUCACUGGCCCGAUACUGACGCUGAGGCACGAAAGCGUGGGGAGCAAACAGG